This 240-nucleotide unclassified non-coding RNA is filed under the name soil metagenome. RNAcentral's name for it is "partial contains 5.8S ribosomal RNA, internal transcribed spacer 2, and large subunit ribosomal RNA". The record is from RNAcentral.
AACGCACGAGACCUGCGGACCUGCGGAGGGAUCAUUACCGAGUUAUACAACUCCCAAACCCACUGUGAACCUUACCUCAGUUGCCUCGGCGGGAACGCCCCGGCCGCCUGCCCCCGCGCCGGCGCCGGACCCAGGCGCCCGCCGCAGGGACCCCAAACUCUCUUGCAUUACGCCCAGCGGGCGGAAUUUCUUCUCUGAGUUGCACAAGCAAAAACAAAUGAAUCAAAACUUUCAGCAAUG